This 1602-nucleotide ribosomal RNA is filed under the name Escherichia coli. RNAcentral describes it as "bacterial LSU rRNA". It matches the Rfam family "Bacterial large subunit ribosomal RNA", at positions 1270 to 2852 of the family's 2925-position model. The record is from RNAcentral. Lineage: Bacteria; Pseudomonadati; Pseudomonadota; Gammaproteobacteria; Enterobacterales; Enterobacteriaceae.
AUGCUGGAGGUAUCAGAAGUGCGAAUGCUGACAUAAGUAACGAUAAAGCGGGUGAAAAGCCCGCUCGCCGGAAGACCAAGGGUUCCUGUCCAACGUUAAUCGGGGCAGGGUGAGUCGACCCCUAAGGCGAGGCCGAAAGGCGUAGUCGAUGGGAAACAGGUUAAUAUUCCUGUACUUGGUGUUACUGCGAAGGGGGGACGGAGAAGGCUAUGUUGGCCGGGCGACGGUUGUCCCGGUUUAAGCGUGUAGGCUGGUUUUCCAGGCAAAUCCGGAAAAUCAAGGCUGAGGCGUGAUGACGAGGCACUACGGUGCUGAAGCAACAAAUGCCCUGCUUCCAGGAAAAGCCUCUAAGCAUCAGGUAACAUCAAAUCGUACCCCAAACCGACACAGGUGGUCAGGUAGAGAAUACCAAGGCGCUUGAGAGAACUCGGGUGAAGGAACUAGGCAAAAUGGUGCCGUAACUUCGGGAGAAGGCACGCUGAUAUGUAGGUGAAGUCCCUCGCGGAUGGAGCUGAAAUCAGUCGAAGAUACCAGCUGGCUGCAACUGUUUAUUAAAAACACAGCACUGUGCAAACACGAAAGUGGACGUAUACGGUGUGACGCCUGCCCGGUGCCGGAAGGUUAAUUGAUGGGGUCAGCGCAAGCGAAGCUCUUGAUCGAAGCCCCGGUAAACGGCGGCCGUAACUAUAACGGUCCUAAGGUAGCGAAAUUCCUUGUCGGGUAAGUUCCGACCUGCACGAAUGGCGUAAUGAUGGCCAGGCUGUCUCCACCCGAGACUCAGUGAAAUUGAACUCGCUGUGAAGAUGCAGUGUACCCGCGGCAAGACGGAAAGACCCCGUGAACCUUUACUAUAGCUUGACACUGAACAUUGAGCCUUGAUGUGUAGGAUAGGUGGGAGGCUUUGAAGUGUGGACGCCAGUCUGCAUGGAGCCGACCUUGAAAUACCACCCUUUAAUGUUUGAUGUUCUAACGUUGACCCGUAAUCCGGGUUGCGGACAGUGUCUGGUGGGUAGUUUGACUGGGGCGGUCUCCUCCUAAAGAGUAACGGAGGAGCACGAAGGUUGGCUAAUCCUGGUCGGACAUCAGGAGGUUAGUGCAAUGGCAUAAGCCAGCUUGACUGCGAGCGUGACGGCGCGAGCAGGUGCGAAAGCAGGUCAUAGUGAUCCGGUGGUUCUGAAUGGAAGGGCCAUCGCUCAACGGAUAAAAGGUACUCCGGGGAUAACAGGCUGAUACCGCCCAAGAGUUCAUAUCGACGGCGGUGUUUGGCACCUCGAUGUCGGCUCAUCACAUCCUGGGGCUGAAGUAGGUCCCAAGGGUAUGGCUGUUCGCCAUUUAAAGUGGUACGCGAGCUGGGUUUAGAACGUCGUGAGACAGUUCGGUCCCUAUCUGCCGUGGGCGCUGGAGAACUGAGGGGGGCUGCUCCUAGUACGAGAGGACCGGAGUGGACGCAUCACUGGUGUUCGGGUUGUCAUGCCAAUGGCACUGCCCGGUAGCUAAAUGCGGAAGAGAUAAGUGCUGAAAGCAUCUAAGCACGAAACUUGCCCCGAGAUGAGUUCUCCCUGACUCCUUGAGAGUCCUGAAGGAACGUUGAAGACGACGACG